RNA transcript from Quercus lobata, 884 nucleotides. RefSeq lists it as uncharacterized. The transcript has 5 exons. Lineage: Eukaryota; Viridiplantae; Streptophyta; Magnoliopsida; Fagales; Fagaceae. The record is from RefSeq and is a predicted model, not a curated record.
UCCACUAACCCAUAUGAAUCCUUUCCUCUUCACUCGCAGGUGGGGAGAAAAGAAAAACACAAGAAAAACACAACAUUGGGGAGAAAAGAAAAACACAACAUUGGGAAGAAAAAGAUCCUACGGCUUUCGGCAACCAAUAAAUUUUAAGGUUCAAGUUGACGUUGCUUGGCGCACUCGAGUUGAACUUGUUUGGCCUUGUGAGGCAACUGGUGGCCAUGUAGAAAAUUAGCCUCUUGGCCAUUUGAUAGUUGUUUCCUGUUAGACUGUGGGAGUUACUGACUCCAGUGCAGAGAAAUGGCAAAAGGUCUCAUAUGGGCAACAGCAGAGGAUUUGGCAAGGAAUAGAGGACGAGUUCUCUCUCUUUAUCGCCAGAUAUUGCGGAGCAUCAACUCCCCAAAGCUUCCACUCACUUUUGCAGCAAGAUUGGCUAAGAAAGCAGAGGUUCGUGCUAUCUUCCUGUUGGCUUCUGAAGAGACAUCCCUGCAUAACAUUGAAGACCUUAUUGACACUGCUGAGUAUUCUCUUUCCCUUCUAAGAAAAGGUGAAAUCCCCAAAUAUAUACAAUGAAGGCACGUACAAUUAUGGCGGUUGGGGAGGAAAAUUACCGGUCAAUGGAAGCCAAAUAUUUGUUAGUUCAUGUGAACACCUUAGAGUAAUUGGGAUGAAAUUCACUAUACAGAAGCUGCUAACAAGUUUGUUUUCAACCAAAUUUCAACUGGAGCCUUUUCCGAUCCACCCGUACCCUUGGAAAUGGCUUGUCACAACAUUUAGAUUCUUAGGCACUUAUAUAUAAAAAUAAAUAAAUAAAUUCUUGUACCAUGGGUUAUUAACUUAUUAUGUACUUUUAAAUUAUUUUCUUCUUUAUUGCUACGAAUAAUAUUGCU